CUGGCUUCCAAGCCAACUGGCAGUCUGAACUGAUAAGCCAAUCAGGGUAUGAGACUGAGGCUGGUGUUCUCAUCCGCUCCUCAGAGAAACUGAAGGUGAUGGUCAAGAAGAGUAGAUAACGUUGAGUUUUUCCAAGACUGUCUUUAGGAAAGAACACUGGAGCCAAAACACAGUCUGGUGGCAACAAGUUCCUUAAAUCAUAGCAUGGUGGAGGAAGUACAGAGCCCAGAUUGACAAGGCUGCCCCUUCCUCCCACCGCAGAGGGUACUAUCUGUCCUUCUUCACAUCUAAGGCUGGGAGAAAGAAGAUCUCUGUGCUCUGAGAACUCUUGACCUGAUAGGGGAGAUGCAGCCUCUGUCCCUAGGGAACUCCCAGUCCGAUGGAGGAGGCACUCCCUGCUGCUAGGGAACUCCCACUCGUGAGGGAAACACAGCCUCUGCCUCUGCCGCCUGGAGGCUCCCAGUCUGAUGGGUGAGACAGUGCUUGCAAGUGAUGGGGGAACUCAAAGUUCAGCUCUGAUCCCCGCCUCUGCCCCAGCUCUCAGCACUUCCUCCAAGGUGUCCUUCCGUAGCCAGCUGGAGCUGGCCAUGCAGCUGUGAUGGACACAGGUGGCUUGGCACUUGUCCUUGUCCUUGCUCCACUGAGCCUGAGGUUGGGCUGGCUCUGGAGAUGAAUGGAGGGCUCUCAUGCCAGGGAGAUGAGCUAUGGGUUAGAACAUCCCCAAACAACAUAGCCCAGCUCCAAAGCUCUGUUCAGCACCCAUGAUUUGCCAGCUUGGAUCCAGGGAAAGGAUUUUUCUUUGGGCAAGUAUUGGACAGGAUGGGGUUAAGAUGGCAAGAAUCUGAGAAUACUCAGGUUGCUGAGAGCCAAGGCCACCUCUCACCCCACAGAGAGGAAGGGACAAAGAAAGAAGUCCUGUAGGCACUGAGGACUCCACAUCUGUGAAGCCACUUCCAUUCACUCCAGUUAACAACCAGCCCAGCAAAGGAGGUCUCUGCAGCCAUGGAGCACGUUUGCAGCCUCGUUAGUGGAUGUGGAGUGGACUCUCUAGCUGGAAAGCAUGGGUGUCACAUUCUGCCUGAGAAGGGUUUCAGCAACCUGGAAAUCACCUAUUCCAGAGACUGUAUCUAUAAAAUGCAGCCUGGAUCCCUGAGUCACUGCUUGGAAGAGAACUUCUUUGGAGAGCCAAUGGACCCAGAACAGACUUUUCAGGAACCAAAAAUAAACCUUUGUGUAUUAAACCACUGAAAUCUCUGAGACAGUUUGUUACUGCAGCAUAACCUCACUUAACCUGACUAAUACACCAUGUGCUCCAGACCUACUAGUUGGGAUGGAGU
Canis lupus familiaris (dog) is the source of this 1337-nucleotide long non-coding RNA. RefSeq lists it as uncharacterized. The transcript has 5 exons. NCBI's taxonomy places the organism in Eukaryota, Metazoa, Chordata, Mammalia, Carnivora, Canidae. The record is from RefSeq and is a predicted model, not a curated record.